RNAcentral lists this long non-coding RNA (4815 nucleotides) under Lynx pardinus (Iberian lynx). The record is from RNAcentral. Lineage: Eukaryota; Metazoa; Chordata; Mammalia; Carnivora; Felidae.
GUUCCCCUUCACUCCAGGGUAAGUGCUCCACAUGCUUGCUCUGAGGGAAACCCAGCAGGAGGGUUGGUGGCUCUACAUGAACCCUCUCUGCUACUGAAACAGCAGCUGUCCCCAGCGCCUGCACAAGCUCAGCUCGAGAAGGGCCCUCGGGGAAUUCAACAGUGCUGCUCCCAGUGACCCUGGAGACCUCUGCACUCUGCCUAGCACUAGUCACUCCCCCGACACGGGGGCUGGAUUGACUUCUAAGGGGGAUAAGGACAAACUGGGACCCACUGAGGAGAGGGCCUGAAAUGGGAAGAGGGACACAGAAGACUUCACGGUGUCAAGUCCAGAAGGCAGGGUUUCUGAUUCCUUACCAUUUCACCUGCCAGAAGUUCCAUUCAGAGACAAACAAAACAAAGAAAACACAUCAUUUCAGGCUAUGUCUGGAGGACGUGCCUGAGUCCCUGUAGCAGACCCUGCCUUUGUUUACCAAUAUCCAUUUUUCUUUCCCCUUUGCUAACAAAUUCAAUUUGUUUGAGAUAGAAAUGCACCCAGCCUCAAGCGAGGAAUCUAUGGCCAGAUUAAAGCAAGCAUGACAAGCCUGUUCCUCUAUUCCCAGUCCCCUUGCAACCAGGAUUGGACCGUAAGAUACAGGUGCAAGUGUGUGUGUGUGUGUGUGUGUGUGUGUGUGUAUCUACCUCAAGUAAAGCUUCUGCUUUCCUAAAAAAAUAGAUUCAGCUGAUAUGUUCCCUCUUUCCAUUUCUCUGUGUCUGUUUUCUUUUGAAUGUGGGCAUGAUAUCUAGAGUUGUACCAGCCACCUAAGACCACAAGGAAAAAGCCAAGAGAAUCUCAGAGUUGCUGAGUUAAGAUAGCAAUAUUACAACCACCACCACCUGAUUCCUUGUUAUGAGAAAAAGACUCCCUGGUGCAUUUAAACCUCUAUAACCAGGUUUCCAGCUACUUGUAGCCAAACACCUUCCUAAGUGGUAGAAUUUCCAGCAGAGGAGUUGGGGAAAAUGACUUUUUCUGAUUAUCAGCCACUGUACUUCUCCUCUUUCCUCACCUGGGGUUGUGUGGCCCCCAGAUCAAUCCUGCCCCCAGAAGUCGUCCCUAGAUCAAUUCUGACCUGCAGCAGGAGGUAUGAUUUAAGCAGCCUCGUAUCCUGAGCUCUGCAGCAGGAGCGUUUUGCAUCUUCCACAUCAACUCCAGAGUUAUCUCCUCCAAACACAAACCUGAACAUGGCACUCUUCUGCCCCAAAUCCUAUUAACUUCCCUCAGACCCCAAGAAUGGCAUUCAGAUCCUUUCCCAAGCCUUCAAGGCCCUUCCCACCUUGGAUUCAGCUUACUUUCGUAGCUUUAAAUCCCUGUCCUUUUCACCAGGCACCAUCCCCAUCUUCUGGCCCACCUCUGUCACCCCAUGUCCACCAUGGGCUGAUACGUUUGCUCCCUCCUUUGCACUCUUUCUGCACACCUUUGUUAUAGCGAGCGCCACUCUGCCUUGUAGUUGCUUGUUUACAAAUGUUUCCUUCCAGAGAUCGUAAGCUGUGAGGACAAGAGCCCGUCCUUAUUCUGUUUGUAUGUGCUUCAGCUUCCAGAAUAGCUAGUACUCAAAAGAAAUCCUGGGGAUCAAGAAAUAAAACCCCAGUGCUGUGGUUAUACUUUGGACAUUAACCUUGAGCUUCCUCUUUGGGCUGUGUUUGGAGCCACUCUUCAGGUAACUUGUGAAGUUCCCCAUUAUAAGGAAAGGGUUUGCUCAGUUUCCUAUUAAGCAAUAUUUAUUAAGCACCUACUGUGUGCUUGUAUCAGUUAGCUAUAUGCUGUGUAACAAAUACCCACAAAAUCCUAAUGGUGUAUAAUCAUGAGCAUUUAUUUCUCACCGGUCUUUGGGUUGGUGGGGAGUAUUACAAGGUGUUACUACAAGCCCCACUUUUCAGAUGAGGAAACCAGAGGUAUAGAGAGGUAAUGUAAUCAUCCAAGUUUGCAUAGUUGAUAAGGAGCAGAGCCAGAAUAACAAGCAAGAGGACCUGACCUGAGGCUGGAGUCCUAACCAUUAUCUUGCACUACCUCGCUGCUCUAGACUGCAUGUUUGUGUCCCCUCAAACUUUAUAUCUUGAAACUUAAUUGGUGAUGUGAUGGUAUUCAGACAUGGGGCCUUUGGGAGGUGAUUAGAUCUUGAGGGUGGAGCCCUCAUGAAUGGAAUUAGUGACCUUCUGAAAGAGACUCCAGAGAGCUCUCUUGCCCUUUCUGCCAUGUGAGAACACAGGGAAAAGACAACCACCUAUGAACCAGUAAACAGUCUCUCACCAGGUAACAAAUCUGCCAGCAUCUUGAUCUUGGACUUCCCAGCCUCUAGAACUGCAAGAAAGAAAUAUCUGUUGUUUAUAAGCUACCCAGUGUAUGGUAUCUUGUUAUAGCAAUCCAAAUGGACCAAGACAUUCUCCAUCUUGGAGAGUAUCCCACUGUGCUUAAGAAGUUGGCUUGUUUUUUAAAAAAAUUUAAUGUUUAUUUCAUUUACUUAUUUAUUUAUUGAGAGAGAGAGUGCAUGAGCAGGGGAGGGGCAGAGAGAGAGGGAGACACAGAGUCUGAAGCAGGCUCCAGGCUCCGACCUGUCAGCACAGAACCUGACAUGGGGCUCCAGCCCACAAAUCCUGAGAUCAUGACCUGAGCUGAAGUCGGCUGCUUAGCCGACUGAGCCACCCAGGUGCCCCAAAAGUUGACUUGUUUUAAAAAUAACAGCCUAAUAUUCCAAGGAAUGGAUGUGGAUAUACCGUAAUUACUUAGCCAGUCUCUACUGAUGUGCAUUUAAGUUUUUCUCAAACUUUUGCUACCACAAACAAUGUUGCAUGAGCAAUUUGUGCCCAAGUCAUUCAGCGUCUGUGAAGUAUAUCUGCAGGGAAAAUUUCUAGAAAUGGAGUUGCUGGCUCAAAGUUAUGUACCUUUGUAAUUUUGAUAGAUAUUGCUAAAUUGCUUGCCAACAAUCUAUGGACUGUCGGUUUCCCCACACCCUUUCCCACAGGAUGUGUUAGCAAGCUUUUUGAUCUUUAGCAGCACGAUGGAUGAAAAGCAGUAUCUCAGUGUUGUUUUAAUUUGCAUGGUUUUUAUUAUGAAUAGUGUUGAAAAAAUAAUGUUACCUCAUGGGGUUGCCAUGAGGAUUAAAUGAACUAAGACAAUGAAUACACAUCAAGUUCUUAGAACAGUACUCAGUACUUGGUAAGCACUUAAUAAAUGUUUAUUGCUCUUACUAUUAUAUAUUAAAUGGGGGAGAGCAAUGCACAGAGCUCUAUGCACAAUAUGCCACUAUUUCUGGGGAAAAAAGGAAGCAAGCAAAAAUAUGUGUAUAUACAUAGGCAUAUACAUCCACAUCCAUGCAUACAUUGAUGUGUGUGUGUGUGUGUGUGUGUGUGUAUGUACUUGCAUGUGUAUGUAACAUUUCUCAGGAAAGAUAUACAAAAGUAGAAAAACAUUGAUGCCUCUAAGGAAGGAAUUGUGUGCUGGUGACAGGAGAGAGAAGAGAUUUUUCACAGCAUUCCCUUUGUAUCUCAUCAUAUUUGAAUCAUGUGCACGAAUCAUUUAUUCUCAAAUGGGCUGUAGUUACUGGCACUUCCUGUAGGAAGUCUAUGCAAUUAAGAAGGCUCCCAGCUCCAGGGUUUUAGCCCAGAGUCCCGGGGAGAUGACACAUUCCAGUUUGCCACCUUCCCACCCUUGCCUCUUGAGGGCACCAGACUCAGCCCUAAUGGUAGCUCAAAAGAAAGCUGGGUUUGCCACCAGCUGAGGAAUGAAUGGAAAGUACCAGUGUUCAUUCUUCCUUUCCCCCCAUGUUUUCCACACCUAUCACUCCAUCCAACCCCCUCAAGACAGGAGGAAGGACCACAUGAGAAAAAGGGACCCUGAAAUCUUUGCUGUCUUCCAGACGCUCCGUGUGGUAAUGGAAGAAUUCCUGGACUUGAGUACCCUCAUCUAGUCUCAACGAAGCCACCGAUCUCCUGGGGAGACAAGAACCAUCGCCUUCCUGGGCCUUAGUCUUCUGAGAGUGAAAAGGGGUUACUGCCACCCAGCCUACAUCAUAGGGUUUGGAUGAAAUCAAAUAAGAAAUAUGAAGCCACAUUGAACACACCAAAGCGUGAUGUUACAGAACGUGUGGGUGGCAUGGGACAGCGAGUGUUCCUGAGCUGUCACCAAAGACAGUUGCCUCUGCUCCACAGGGCAUCUGUUCGCAGCACAGACCUCCAACCUGGGAGUGCCUCUUCUCAUCCAAGAGAACUGAAUGAAACCCCUUGCCCAGGUACUACCAGAUGUCAGACACCAUGUAGAGAAUAAAGAGAACAAAGAUGCAGGAAAGAGAGAAGCCAAUUCCAGGCUUAAUAAAUGCAGGAAUUUUGCAGGAUGCGUUGGAAACAUCCAACCUCGGUGAAAAUCUGUUGAUUAAAAACUUAACCCUCAGUCAUAAGAAGGAAUAGAACUUUUGACACGUGCUGCAGCAUGGAAGUCAUUAUGCUGAGUGAAAUCAGCCAAACACAAAAGGACAAAUACUGUAUGAUUCCACUUAUAUGAGGUAGCUAGAAUAGGCCAUUCAUAACGGCAGAAAGUAGAAUAGAGUUACCAGGGGCUGGGGGCAGGUAAAUGGGAACUUAUAUGAGUUCUGAGUUUCAGCUCUGGAGAUGGAUUGUGGUGACGGCUAUACAACACUGUGAAGGUACUUAGUACUACUGAAUUGUACAAUUAAAAAUGAUUGAGGGACGCCUGGAUGCCGUCCACCUUCGGCUCAGGUCAUGAUCUUGUGGUUUGUGAGUUCGAGCCCCGCACUGGGCUCUGUGCUGACAGCUUGGAGCCUGG